This 1372-nucleotide ribosomal RNA is filed under the name uncultured bacterium. Its description in RNAcentral is "bacterial SSU rRNA". It matches the Rfam family "Bacterial small subunit ribosomal RNA", at positions 28 to 1381 of the family's 1533-position model. The record is from RNAcentral.
GAUGAACGCUGGCGGCGUGCCUAAUACAUGCAAGUCGAGCGAACGGACGAGAAGCUUGCUUCUCUGAUGUUAGCGGCGGACGGGUGAGUAACACGUGGAUAACCUACCUAUAAGACUGGGAUAACUUCGGGAAACCGGAGCUAAUACCGGAUAAUAUUUUGAACCGCAUGGUUCAAAGGUGAAAGACGGUCUUGCUGUCACUUAUAGAUGGAUCCGCGCUGCAUUAGCUAGUUGGUAAGGUAACGGCUUACCAAGGCAACGAUGCAUAGCCGACCUGAGAGGGUGAUCGGCCACACUGGAACUGAGACACGGUCCAGACUCCUACGGGAGGCAGCAGUAGGGAAUCUUCCGCAAUGGGCGAAAGCCUGACGGAGCAACGCCGCGUGAGUGAUGAAGGUCUUCGGAUCGUAAAACUCUGUUAUUAGGGAAGAACAUAUGUGUAAGUAACUGUGCACAUCUUGACGGUACCUAAUCAGAAAGCCACGGCUAACUACGUGCCAGCAGCCGCGGUAAUACGUAGGUGGCAAGCGUUAUCCGGAAUUAUUGGGCGUAAAGCGCGCGUAGGCGGUUUUUUAAGUCUGAUGUGAAAGCCCACGGCUCAACCGUGGAGGGUCAUUGGAAACUGGAAAACUUGAGUGCAGAAGAGGAAAGUGGAAUUCCAUGUGUAGCGGUGAAAUGCGCAGAGAUAUGGAGGAACACCAGUGGCGAAGGCGACUUUCUGGUCUGUAACUGACGCUGAUGUGCGAAAGCGUGGGGAUCAAACAGGAUUAGAUACCCUGGUAGUCCACGCCGUAAACGAUGAGUGCUAAGUGUUAGGGGGUUUCCGCCCCUUAGUGCUGCAGCUAACGCAUUAAGCACUCCGCCUGGGGAGUACGACCGCAAGGUUGAAACUCAAAGGAAUUGACGGGGACCCGCACAAGCGGUGGAGCAUGUGGUUUAAUUCGAAGCAACGCGAAGAACCUUACCAAAUCUUGACAUCCUUUGACAACUCUAGAGAUAGAGCUUUCCCCUUCGGGGGACAAAGUGACAGGUGGUGCAUGGUUGUCGUCAGCUCGUGUCGUGAGAUGUUGGGUUAAGUCCCGCAACGAGCGCAACCCUUAAGCUUAGUUGCCAUCAUUAAGUUGGGCACUCUAAGUUGACUGCCGGUGACAAACCGGAGGAAGGUGGGGAUGACGUCAAAUCAUCAUGCCCCUUAUGAUUUGGGCUACACACGUGCUACAAUGGACAAUACAAAGGGCAGCGAAACCGCGAGGUCAAGCAAAUCCCAUAAAGUUGUUCUCAGUUCGGAUUGUAGUCUGCAACUCGACUACAUGAAGCUGGAAUCGCUAGCAAUCGUAGAUCAGCAUGCUACGGUGAAUACGUUCCCGGGUCU